GACGAACGCUGGCGGCGUGCUUAACACAUGCAAGUCGAACGGAAAGGCCCUGCUUUUGUGGGGUGCUCGAGUGGCGAACGGGUGAGUAACACGUGAGUAACCUGCCCUUGACUUUGGGAUAACUUCAGGAAACUGGGGCUAAUACCGGAUAGGAGCUCCUGCUGCAUGGUGGGGGUUGGAAAGUUUCGGCGGUUGGGGAUGGACUCGCGGCUUAUCAGCUUGUUGGUGGGGUAGUGGCUUACCAAGGCUUUGACGGGUAGCCGGCCUGAGAGGGUGACCGGCCACAUUGGGACUGAGAGACGGCCCAGACUGCUACGGGAGGCAGCAGUGGGGAAUAUUGCACAAUGGGCGGAAGCCUGAUGCAGCAACGCCGCGUGCGGGAUGACGGCCUUCGGGUUGUAAACCGCUUUCGCCUGUGACGAAGCGUGAGUGACGGUAAUGGGUAAAGAAGCACAGGCUAACUACGUG
RNAcentral lists this ribosomal RNA (468 nucleotides) under uncultured bacterium. RNAcentral's name for it is "partial 16S ribosomal RNA". It matches the Rfam family "Bacterial small subunit ribosomal RNA", at positions 28 to 507 of the family's 1533-position model. The record is from RNAcentral.